UCGAUGAAGAACGCAGCGAAAUKCGAUAAGUAAUGUGAAUUGCAGAAUUCCGUGAAUCAUCGAAUCUUUGAACGCACAUUGCGCCCUYCGGCACUYCSGAGGGCAUGCCUGUCCGAGUGUCGUCAUGGCAUCGCCCCCARCCGUUUGAGGUUUUGGGGACGGUUUUUGGCCGCAGGCACCGGUGGGGUCGCCUCCGGGCGUCCCCCCAGCAAGCCCGGCUCAAAUCCUUGGUCCGCACAGGUGGGAGAGGGGCCCCUCGACGUAGUGGUGACAUUUCCCGUCGUAGGCCUCCUCGAGCCCCCUGGGACCGUAAACGCUGGCGCCCACGUGUGCGCCACCGACCUCUCGAGUUUGACCUCGGAUCAGGCAGGGAUACCCGCC
This 381-nucleotide ribosomal RNA is filed under the name uncultured Fischerula. RNAcentral describes it as "eukaryotic LSU rRNA". The stretch from base 1 to 122 matches the Rfam family "5.8S ribosomal RNA", at positions 33 to 154 of the family's 154-position model. The record is from RNAcentral. Lineage: Eukaryota; Fungi; Ascomycota; Pezizomycetes; Pezizales; Helvellaceae.